This 468-nucleotide ribosomal RNA is filed under the name uncultured bacterium. RNAcentral's name for it is "partial 16S ribosomal RNA". It matches the Rfam family "Bacterial small subunit ribosomal RNA", at positions 28 to 507 of the family's 1533-position model. The record is from RNAcentral.
GACGAACGCUGGCGGCGUGCUUAACACAUGCAAGUCGAACGGAAAGGCCCUGCUUUUGUGGGGUGCUCGAGUGGCGAACGGGUGAGUAACACGUGGGUAACCUGCCCUUGACUUUGGGAUAACUUCAGGAAACUGGGGCUAAUACCGGAUAGGAGCUCCUGCUGCAUGGUGGGGGUUGGAAAGUUUCGGCGGUUGGGGAUGGACUCGCGGCUUAUCAGCUUGUUGGUGGGGUAGUGGCUUACCAAGGCUUUGACGGGUAGCCGGCCUGAGAGGGUGACCGGCCACAUUGGGACUGGGAUACGGCCCAGACUCCUACGGGAGGCAGCAGUGGGGAAUAUUGCACAAUGGGCGGAAGCCUGAUGCAGCAACGCCGCGUGCGGGAUGACGGCCUUCGGGUUGUAAACCGCUUUCGCCUGUGACGAAGCGUGAGUGACGGUAAUGGGUAAAGAAGCACCGGCUAACUACGUG